AGAGUUUGAUCCUGGCUCAGAAUCAACGCUGGCGGCGUGCCUAACACAUGCAAGUCGAACGCGGUUAGUAGCAAUACUAACUGAGUGGCGAACGGGUGAGUAACACGUGGGUGACCUACCUUCGAGUGGGGGAUAACGUCCCGAAAGGGACGCUAAUACCGCAUAACAUCCUGUCCUUGAACGGAUGGAGAUCAAAGCCGGGGAUCGCAAGACCUGGCGCUUGAAGAGGGGCCCGCGUCUGAUUAGCUAGUUGGGUGAGGUAACGGGCCCACCAAGGCGACGAUCAGUAUCCGGCCUGAGAGGGGCGGGACGGACACACUGGGGACUUGAGACACGGCCCAGACUCCUACGGGGAGGCAGCAGUGGGGGAAUUGUUCACAAUGGGCGCAAGCCCUGAUGACCCAACGCCCGCGUGGAGGAUGAAAGGUCUUCCGGAUUGUAAACUCCUGGUUGCUCGGGGACGAAAAGCCUCCACCUAACACGUCGAGGUCCUGACGGUACCGAGUGAAGGAAACCCCCGGCUAACUCCUGUGCCCGCAGCCCCCGGUAAUACAGAGGGGGCCAGCGUUGUUCGGAAAUUACUGGGGCGUAAAGGGCGCCGUAGGCGGGCCCGCUAAGUCUCAACGUGAAAUCCCCCGAGCUUCAACUCCGGGAACUGCGUUCCGAAACUGGUGGGGCUUUGAAUCCCGGAGAGGGGAUGGCGGGAAUUUCAGGGUGGUGCGGGUGAAAUUGCGUAAGAUUAUCUUGUAGGGAACAACCGGGUGGGCGAAGGCGGCAUCCCUGGACCGGGCAUUUGACGCUUGAGCAGCGAAAAGCUACGGGAGCCAAACCGGAAUAGAUCCCCCCGGGUAGUCCCUAGCCCAUAAACGAUGAUUGCCUGGUGUGGCGGGUAUCGAUCCCCUGCCGUGCCGAAAGCUAACGCAUUAAAGCAUUCCGCGUGGGGAGUACGGUCGCAAGGGCUGAAAUCUCAAAAGGAAUGGACGGGGGCCCGCACAAGCGGUGGAGCAUGUGGUUUAUUCGACGCACCGCGAAGACCUUUACCCCAGGCUUGAACUGCAGAGGACACUCUACGAAAGUAGACUUCCGCAAGGACCUCUGUAGAGGUGCUGCAUGGCUGUCGUCAGCUCGUGUCGUGAGAUGUGGGGUUAAGUCCCGCAACGAGCGCACCCUUUGUCUUCUGUGGCCAUCAGGUUAAGCUGGCCAUUCUGAAGAGACUGCCGGUGACAAACCGGAGGAAGGUGGGGAUGACGUCAAGUCAGCAUGGCCUUUAUGUCUGGGGCCACACACGUGCUACAAUGGCAGGUACAAACCGUCGCGAGACCGCAAGGUGGAGCUAAUCGGAUAAAGCCUGUCUCAGUUCGGAUUGUCGGCUGCAACUCGCCGGCAUGAAGUUGGAAUCGCUAGUAAUCGCGGAUCAGCACGCCGCGGUGAAUACGUUCCCGGGCCUUGUACACACCGCCCGUCACAUCACGAAAGCUGGCUGUACUAGAAGUAGCAGCGCUAACCCGCAAGGGAGGCAUGUUCCUAAGGUAUGGUCAGUGAUUGGGGUGAAGUCGUAACAAGGUAACC
This 1569-nucleotide ribosomal RNA is filed under the name uncultured bacterium. RNAcentral's name for it is "bacterial SSU rRNA". It matches the Rfam family "Bacterial small subunit ribosomal RNA". The record is from RNAcentral.